This 432-nucleotide ribosomal RNA is filed under the name Triticum aestivum (bread wheat). RNAcentral describes it as "partial small subunit ribosomal RNA". The record is from RNAcentral. Lineage: Eukaryota; Viridiplantae; Streptophyta; Magnoliopsida; Poales; Poaceae.
AUGGACCGUUUCCGUAUGGCGGCAUCCCAACCCAACAAACCAACGAUGAAGGAGGAUGGCGAAGAUGAGAUGGCGGGAUGGUGGGAGAAGGCUGCGAAGAAGCUUAGAGAUGAGGAUGCGGCCAAGCUAAAGAAGAAGAAGGAACAGGAGCUUGAGAAGGAGAUGAAGAGGGAAGAGAGAGCGUCAAUGGCGAUGCGCGCUAGGGAGGCAGCGUUGGUGAGGAAAUGUGAGGAGGCACAAAAGAAGCGUCUAAAGGAUUUUCAAGAAAGAACCAUGAAGCUUUGGGCAAUUGCAGCUGAAAAAGAAGAGAGGGACAAUCAGAUAUUCAUGGAAAGGGUGGUUAAGGAGGCUCACCUCAUAAGAAAAAGGGAGGAGGAAGAGGAAGAAGAGAGGAAGAAGAAGAAGGGAAAGGGGCCUUGCUCUACGCAAUAA